This 65-nucleotide transfer RNA is filed under the name marine eukaryotic metagenome. It matches the Rfam family "tRNA", at positions 5 to 66 of the family's 71-position model. From Rfam's summary of the family: Transfer RNA (tRNA) molecules are approximately 80 nucleotides in length. Their secondary structure includes four short double-helical elements and three loops (D, anti-codon, and T loops). Further hydrogen bonds mediate the characteristic L-shaped molecular structure. tRNAs have two regions of fundamental functional importance: the anti-codon, which is responsible for specific mRNA codon recognition, and the 3' end, to which the tRNAs corresponding amino acid is attached (by aminoacyl-tRNA synthetases). tRNAs cope with the degeneracy of the genetic code in two manners: having more than one tRNA (with a specific anti-codon) for a particular amino acid; and 'wobble' base-pairing, i.e. permitting non-standard base-pairing at the 3rd anti-codon position. The record is from RNAcentral.
GGUGUAGCUCAGUUGGUAGAGCACCUGACUGUUAAUCAGGUUGUCACAGGUUCGAGCCCUGUCAC